This 1281-nucleotide unclassified non-coding RNA is filed under the name Hevea brasiliensis (rubber tree). The record is from RNAcentral. Lineage: Eukaryota; Viridiplantae; Streptophyta; Magnoliopsida; Malpighiales; Euphorbiaceae.
CAUGAAUUCAUAAACAAGUAGAAACUCACCUUUAUCAUGGCACCAACCCAAGAGUUGAGCCAGAUUCCGGUGUCUCAAUUGGCCAAUGGUUUUCACCUCAGUAAUAUGCUCCUUUUUACCUUGUCUAGAUCCUCUUGAAACUUACUUCACAGCAAUUGCUAAAUCCAUAUCAAUUAAGUAUCCCUUGUAAACAGCACCCUCCUUUCCCCAGCAUCCUUUCUUCCGAGAAGUUAUUGGUAGCUGAAACGAGAUCUUCAUAAGAAAACCUUCUUGGUCCAGCUCUUCUUUCCAAGGUCUUCAUUGAUUGAUGUCAAGUUUACUUCCUCCCCUUCUUUCUUUUCCACCGUCUGUUUCCUCCUCCUCCAAGAAAUCAGAAUUUUUAUCAUAGCCCCAGAUGUGAGAACACAUACUGAAAUUGCAAUACCAACUAUUAUUCUGAUCCUCUUUGAAUUUGUCUCCUUUACAUCCAAAGUUGAAUUGAAUUCCCAAGAUAAAAGUUGAUUUCGCUCUAAGUUUGAACCUGUUGCAGAUGAAAAUCCAAUGGUGACCCACUCAGGCAAAACCUUCAUCAGAUCAAUUAUGUGAGAUAGACUAUAAUUUUCUAGAAGAGGAUUUGAGGUUUUCUGGUAAGACCAUAAAACGCUCAAAUUUUUUGCUGUAGCAUCAUAAGUAAUCCAGACAUCAGCAGUAUCUCCACUGUGAAAGCUAGCAUUCCAAGGAGUGUGGACAGCCGAACUAAGAGAAUUGCUAUUAAUCCCCACAUGCUCUACUAGAGGCUCUGGAUCCCAUUCUGGAUUUGGAAAUGAAUCAAACUCCACGUGAACUAUUUGGUUCUGAGAAGAAUCUUCAACUGUUGAAGUGUUGUAGAGGCCAAAAAAACCACCAGCAGAAUUCAGUGGGAUUUCAAAUCCAACGGGAGCAAGGAAGAAUGCAAGGCCAUGGCCGUAAGCGGAACGACCUUCGGUGUCGAUGAUGAAGGAGAAAUGCGUUGUGAAAUUGGAAAGUUGCCCAGAAUUGGAGUCCCAGAUGCGGACCCUCUCAGCAUGGGUGGCCCAACCAACACGGCAUGUGUAUGUGUAUCUGAAAAUUAACUCAACCGCACCAGCAGAAGGUACAGCAUCCCCACGGUAAAUUAUGCUGUUUACAUCUGGAUCAAAGCGAGUUAUUUUGAAGCUUACAGAAUUAGCAAAGGGAAGAAGUAAUGAAAAGAAGACAAAAAAGAUGCAUAGUGAUGAAAGGCAGAGAAGAGGGUAGCCAAUUAAUGCAGCAGAGCUACUUGCU